GGCUUCAUAGUUCAGUUGGCUAGAGCGUUGGCCGUACUAAAGCCUUCUGCAUGCCGACGUGGGUUCGAAUCCCACCAAAGUCG
RNAcentral lists this transfer RNA (83 nucleotides) under Schistocephalus solidus. It matches the Rfam family "tRNA". Rfam says of the family: Transfer RNA (tRNA) molecules are approximately 80 nucleotides in length. Their secondary structure includes four short double-helical elements and three loops (D, anti-codon, and T loops). Lineage: Eukaryota; Metazoa; Platyhelminthes; Cestoda; Diphyllobothriidea; Diphyllobothriidae. The record is from Rfam by way of RNAcentral.